Molecule: ribosomal RNA, 119 nt
Filed under: uncultured bacterium
Lineage: Bacteria
Description: partial 16S ribosomal RNA
Rfam family: Bacterial small subunit ribosomal RNA
Source: RNAcentral
GUACACACCGCCCGUCACACCAUGAGAGUUUGUAACACCCAAAGCCGGUGGGGUAACCUUUUGGAGCCAGCCGUCUAAGGUGGGACAGAUGAUUAGGGGUGAAGUCGUAACAAGGUAGC